Molecule: long non-coding RNA, 2772 nt
Filed under: Capsicum annuum
Lineage: Eukaryota; Viridiplantae; Streptophyta; Magnoliopsida; Solanales; Solanaceae
Description: long non-coding RNA (CANN_LNC019757)
Source: RNAcentral
AUAACACACACUUUAUUUAAAUCAUUCUUCUUUUCCAUUUCAUUUACUUCUCCAUUACUAUUAUACAAUCCUUAUUAUUAGUUAUAUUAUUUUUCAAAUUAACUUGUUGGUAUUUGUAUUAAUAGUUUUGUUGAUUCCUGUAUUCUCUAAAUAUUUAGAGAAGUGCUUGUUUAAUUCUGGGCAAACAUUUCACGCUGCUAAAAUAGUUUUUUAGGAUAGUGCCCAGCACGACUCAAGUAUAAUAAAUAUAUAUACACUGAUAUAUUAUACUGUUAAUACUAUCAAAAUAAUAUUUUAUUCACAGCUGUAUAAUAGUAUUAUUUUUCUUUAUUCCCGAACAUCUAUGAACUUGAAUCUGAAACGUGGGGGUUAUUUGGAGUUGUUUAAACUUACUGUGAAGUCAUGAACAAAAAUUGUCAUAGAAACUCCGAUAAGGCGGAGAUUGGAUUCUUCGUUCUUGUAAGUGGUGGUUCAAAUUGAUUGCUAGGUAAUGUUCCUAUGCUUGUAAGAAGCUCAUGAUUCAAAUCUGAGCUGAUUUGGUGAAAGUUAUUGUACCGAUUUUAAAAGUCAUAACUGGGGAAAUGGACAAAGAAAACAACUUGAAAAGCUAAAGACCAUGUUUCGCUUUUGUCUCCCUGAAGCAGUGCAUUGAGCUGAGCUGAACAUUGAAAUCGAAAAUUGGCUGGAUGAAAGUAAUCGUUUAGACAAACUGUCAGCAGCUUGCUCUGUGAAAAGUUUCAUAUCCCUGAACUAAUUCAAAUGUCUCCAUGAUUCAGGUUCGUCUUAGUUUGAAUUCAGGAAUCUCUUCGAGGAAUUGAGUUUGCUUUUCUGAUCUGAGAACUACUGUUUAUCUUUGAUUUAUGGAUUGAUUGGAGAGAUUCAGUAUUGGAGUUGCAUUCUAUAUGAAAUACCAAGCACCUCUGCUGCUGUUGGUCUGUCGACAAACGAAUCAGGUGGUUUUACAUUUUGGAAUGACUCAGUAGGUGCUUAAAUUUGAAAAGUUUCGAAGGUAUUGGGGCUGUGCUAAAAUUUGUUUUGUUUCACUUACAUGUGUGAUUUUGUUCAAACGGUGUUAAAAAUUAUGUAAGGAAUGGAGUAAUUAUCCAGGAGGUGCAUUUCAACAUAUUCCUCUAUGUUAGCUUAACGAGUGAAUGCAACACAUUCCAUCCAAACAAGCUUUAAAUAGGCCAAGAGCUUUUCAACAGACAAAUAUUAAAAGCUUAUAACUAAGAAUUGGUGGGGGUUUCCCUAAAGAGAGACCCUUCCAAAAAUUGGCGUAUGCCACUUGUUGCAACAAGCACACGGUAUUCUUUAGUAAAAGGCGAAAGAAUAAUUCGCUAUGUGCUCAAUGCGUGGCUGCGUGAGUUGGCAAGGUGGCUGGAGCCAACAUUAAAUAUGGGGCAAAGCUGUUUGCUCUGCAGCUUGCAUCCGAUGUGGGAUAAAUUCUACAAUCAAACAAUCAUCAACUGGUUGGUGAGACUAAAACAUUUUCUCAUUUAUUUGCCAUUGAGAAUAGGUGAAGGAAAAAAUGGGUAAGGAGAUUACAACAUUCAGAAUCUAAAUUUCAUCAAUAAAGUAAAAGUUCAAAUAGUUAAUGAACUACUAAAAUUUCCAUAUUAUUCGUCAUUUCCACUACUCAAAUGGCAACAUUUCAACUAACAGUAUGUUUCGGAUGGAAAAAACAAGUGUACUAACACUUGUUAUAAUCUAGUAGGAAGAAUAUUCAUUAUUUUACCUAUAUAUAUGUAUGCUUCUUUGUAUGUUAUAACGUAGAGAGGAAAAAAAAACAAUAACACACACUUUAUUUAAAUCAUUCUUCUUUUCCAUUUCAUUUACUUCUCCAUUACUAUUAUACAAUCCUUAUUAUUAGUUAUAUUAUUUUUCAAAUUAACUUGUUGGUAUUUGUAUUAAUAGUUUUGUUGAUUCCUGUAUUCUCUAAAUAUUUAGAGAAGUGCUUGUUUAAUUCUGGGCAAACAUUUCACGCUGCUAAAAUAGUUUUUUAGGAUAGUGCCCAGCACGACUCAAGUAUAAUAAAUAUAUAUACACUGAUAUAUUAUACUGUUAAUACUAUGAAAAUAAUAUUUUAUUCACAGCUGUAUAAUAGUAUUAUUUUUCUUUAUUCCCGAACAUCUAUGAACUUGAAUCUGAAACGUGGGGGUUAUUUGGAGUUGUUUAAACUUACUGUGAAGUCAUGAACAAAAAUUGUCAUAGAAACUCCGAUAAGGCGGAGAUUGGAUUCUUCGUUCUUGUAAGUGGUGGUUCAAAUUGAUUGCUAGGUAAUGUUCCUAUGCUUGUAAGAAGCUCAUGAUUCAAAUCUGAGCUGAUUUGGUGAAAGUUAUUGUACCGAUUUUAAAAGUCAUAACUGGGGAAAUGGACAAAGAAAACAACUUGAAAAGCUAAAGACCAUGUUUCGCUUUUGUCUCCCUGAAGCAGUGCAUUGAGCUGAGCUGAACAUUGAAAUCGAAAAUUGGCUGGAUGAAAGUAAUCGUUUAGACAAACUGUCAGCAGCUUGCUCUGUGAAAAGUUUCAUAUCCCUGAACUAAUUCAAAUGUCUCCAUGAUUCAGGUUCGUCUUAGUUUGAAUUCAGGAAUCUCUUCGAGGAAUUGAGUUUGCUUUUCUGAUCUGAGAACUACUGUUUAUCUUUGAUUUAUGGAUUGAUUGGAGAGAUUCAGUAUUGGAGUUGCAUUCUAUAUGAAAUACCAAGCACCUCUGCUGCUGUUGGUCUGUCGACAAACGAAUCAGGUGGUUUUACAUUUUGGAAUGACUCAGUAG